Long non-coding RNA from Epinephelus fuscoguttatus (brown-marbled grouper), 996 nucleotides. RefSeq lists it as uncharacterized. The record is from RefSeq and is a predicted model, not a curated record. Lineage: Eukaryota; Metazoa; Chordata; Actinopteri; Perciformes; Serranidae. The transcript has 3 exons.
AUUAAAUUAAUAUUAAUUAAUGCGAGCUGAAGACUGUUACCUCCGUGAAGACCUUUGAAGUUAAGUCAGAGUUAAACUGUCAAAAACAAACUAACGUUUAUAAAGUCGUAGAAGCUAAAUAACCGGAAUUAGAUCGUGUUUCUUUGAUAUUAGUUGUAAGUUAGUGAUUUUGUGAGAUGCUAACAGUAGCUAACGUUAGCUAGCAGCAGCCAUGGAAGAUGGAGACAACAACUAUCCUGGGAAACUAUAUGACGUGGAUUUCAAUCACUACACUUCAAUUAAGCUUACACUUGGAGGCAGCGGUUGAUGAUGGUUAGAGCACUCGUCUUCCAUGCGGAAGAUCCAGGGUUUGAAUCCUGCUGGGGUCGACGGUCGCAAGAGGCUCCCACCGCCGAAUCAAAUGGGAUCAGGUUCCUUAUGGAGGCUUCGGGAUAAGAAAGUAACUCUGGAAUCUGAGAUUCACUCGCAGAGAAAAUGGACCAGAUGCCAAAACUACCACUACAGAUCAGGAGCCAGCCGCGUCCUAUCUGAACAGCCUAGUUUCUCAACGAAAGUGCCGAAAGGAAGCCGGCAGCUCUCACCAGCACUUCAUGGCACAAUGUCCAGUAUCGAGAGAAAAAAUAAGAGCGAGACUGCAUCACCUCUGCAGCUUAUUCAACUUACAUUUUGUUGCUAUUAGAAAACAAAGUACUGAAAAAAGGUACUGUUGGAUCACAGUGGAAAUAAGCCUGUGGCUCUUUCUUGUGUAGUUUAAUCCUCAACAGUUGUAGAUGUAUCUGAUGACUAUCUUAAUGUGAAGCAGUUUUAUGUGUUUUAAGACUGUCAAAUAAAUAAGUCCAUCUACGGGUACCAGUAUCAAAUUCCGAGUCUGGUGCCAGUUCAAAUGUGAACUGUACCCAACCCUGAUGACUUUACACUUAAACUGAACCAUUGGACAGUUUUAACACAGUGACAGUCAGUUCAGUUUGUGACUGUGUGAACUGUAUAUGAAGUUAU